This 418-nucleotide unclassified non-coding RNA is filed under the name soil metagenome. Its description in RNAcentral is "partial contains 5.8S ribosomal RNA, internal transcribed spacer 2, and large subunit ribosomal RNA". The stretch from base 1 to 120 matches the Rfam family "5.8S ribosomal RNA", at positions 35 to 154 of the family's 154-position model. The record is from RNAcentral.
GAUGAAGAACGUAGCGAAAUGCGAUAAGUAAUGUGAAUUGCAGAAUUCCGUGAAUCAUCGAAUCUUUGAACGCAUCUUGCGCUCCUUGGUAUUCCUUGGAGCAUGCCUGUUUGAGUAUCAUGAGCAAAUCUCAAAGUCAAUUCCUUUUGUUGAUUCAAUUGGUUUUGCUUUGGACUUGGAGGCCUUGCAGAUUUCACAGUCUGCUCCUCUUAAAUGCAUUAGCUGGAUCUCAGUAAUUAUGCUUGGUUCCACUCGGCGUGAUAAGUAUCACUCGCUGAGGACACUGUUAAAAAGGUGGCCAGGAAAAUACUGAUUGAACCGCUUCUAACGGUCUAUUAAGUUAGACAAUUACCCUUAAGUUUGAUCUCAAAUCAGGUAGGACUACCCGCUGAACUUAAGCAUAUCAAUAAGCGGAGGA